GACGAACGCUGGCGGCGGGCUUAACACAUGCAAGUCGAACGGAAAGGCCCUGCUUUGGUGGGGUGCUCGAGUGGCGAACGGGUGAGUAACACGUGAGUAACCUGCCCUUGACUUUGGGAUAACUUCAGGAAACUGGGGCUAAUACCGGAUAGGAGCUCCUGCUGCAUGGUGGGGGUUGGAAAGUUUCGGCGGUUGGGGAUGGCCUCGCGGCUUAUCAGCUUGUUGGUGGGGUAGUGGCGUACCAAGGCUUUGACGGGUAGCCGGCCUGCGAGGGUGACCGGACAAAUUGGGACUGAGAUACAGCCCAGACUCCUACGGGAGGCAGCAGUGGGGAAUAUUGCACAAUGGGCGGAAGCCUGAUGCAGCAACGCCGCGUGUGGGAUGACGGCCUUCGGGUUGUAAACCGCUUUCGCCUGUGACGAAGCGUGAGUGACGGUAAUGGGUAAAGAAGCACCGGCUAACUACGUG
RNAcentral lists this ribosomal RNA (468 nucleotides) under uncultured bacterium. Its description in RNAcentral is "partial 16S ribosomal RNA". It matches the Rfam family "Bacterial small subunit ribosomal RNA", at positions 28 to 507 of the family's 1533-position model. The record is from RNAcentral.